This 253-nucleotide ribosomal RNA is filed under the name uncultured bacterium. Its description in RNAcentral is "partial 16S ribosomal RNA". It matches the Rfam family "Bacterial small subunit ribosomal RNA", at positions 524 to 776 of the family's 1533-position model. The record is from RNAcentral.
UACGAAGGGGGCUAGCGUUGCUCGGAAUCACUGGGCGUAAAGCGCACGUAGGCGGAUUGUUAAGUCAGGGGUGAAAUCCUGGAGCUCAACUCCAGAACUGCCUUUGAUACUGGCGAUCUCGAGUCCGGGAGAGGUGAGUGGAACUGCGAGUGUAGAGGUGAAAUUCGUAGAUAUUCGCAAGAACACCAGUGGCGAAGGCGGCUCACUGGCCAGGUACUGACGCUGAGGUGCGAAAGCGUGGGGAGCAAACAGG